AUACGUAGGUGACAAGCGUUAUCCGGAUUUACUGGGCGUAAAGGGCGUGUAGGCGGUCUUGCAAGUCAGAAGUGAAAUUCCUGAGCUCAACUCGGGCGCUGCUUCUGAAACUGCAGGACUUGAGUGCUGGAGGGGAUAGCGGAAUUCCUAGUGGAGCGGUAAAAUGCGCAGAUAUUAGGAAGAACACCGGUGGCGAAGGCGGCUAUCUGGACAGUAACUGACGCUGAGGCGCGAAAGCGUGGGGAGCAAACAGGAUUAGAUCCCCUGGUAGUCCACGCCGUAAACGAUGAAUACUAGGUGUAGGGGGUAUCGACUCCCUCUGUGCCGCAGUUAACACAAUAAGUAUUCCGCCUGGGGAGUACGGCCGCAAGGUUGAAACUCAAAUGAAUUGACGG
This 395-nucleotide ribosomal RNA is filed under the name uncultured bacterium. RNAcentral's name for it is "partial 16S ribosomal RNA". It matches the Rfam family "Bacterial small subunit ribosomal RNA", at positions 523 to 916 of the family's 1533-position model. The record is from RNAcentral.